UGGAGAUAAAGCAGGAAGCCAGCGCAGGAGGCCCCGUGGAGCAGUGGUCACAAGCAUGGGUGCUGGGCCAGACAGGCUCAGAAGGGCCCCCUCCUGCACGUGGAAUAGUUAUCAUGAGCUGGAGGAGGACCCAAGUUUCCUGGGGAAAGCCGCUAAAUCAUGGAGGUUUCUGAUGCCAAGAAAAAUAGGCUUGGCCUAGCUCUGAGGCCGUGAACCUCAGAUGCCACCUCAAGAGGCUGCCAUCACCGUGGGCAGUGCCAUCUGGCUUCAUUUUGCCAAAACAAAGGCAAGGCCCUUCAGCAAUUUCUGUGGAUUUGUUUUGCAAAAUUAAAUUGUCUGCUUUUAA
This is a long non-coding RNA of Herpailurus yagouaroundi (jaguarundi), 346 nucleotides long. RefSeq lists it as uncharacterized. Lineage: Eukaryota; Metazoa; Chordata; Mammalia; Carnivora; Felidae. The transcript is spliced from 2 exons. The record is from RefSeq and is a predicted model, not a curated record.